Molecule: long non-coding RNA, 3193 nt
Organism: Gallus gallus (chicken)
Lineage: Eukaryota; Metazoa; Chordata; Aves; Galliformes; Phasianidae
Source: Ensembl
AGAGAUGAUACUAAAUACCAUGAAGGGGCUAAGGCUGCCCUGCUCUCCCAGAGCCAUCCAUAUUCAUGCAGUUUGCUGCUAUCUGAGGGUGUAAAAGAUCUGUUGCUGUAUGCCAGAUCUAGGUGCAGGUCCCUCACUCGCUUGGGUCUCUGAGGUGGUGGUGCAUCUGAAGCAAUCCCUGUACCUCUUUUUGAAGUAGGACUAUAACAAGCUUAAAUAACAAGAGAACUUUAUUUGGAACUACGAAAGGUAAUGGUAUUGGAGAUGAUAAACGCAUUACAGAGCUCUGAAUUAAUCCAUCCAAAAGCAGUUAAUAAAGAAAGUACUGUGGGAUACAAAUGCAACCCAUAGUUACUGCAAACAGCUCUUAGCCUCUGUCUCUUGGGAAAAAUACACAGAUUUAUGUGGCUCCUGCAAAUGGCCAGGUGUAGAAGUGUGCAGUUCUAUGCUCAGUCUUUGUGGCUCUACUCCUUGACCAUAUUUAUCUAGCUCCAUACUGCUGCCCCAGCUGUACUCUCUAACGUGAGAAUGAUAAAACAGAUAAUAGCUUUUCCCACUGUCUGCAAGCUGCAUUAGUGGGGGAAAUACUGACACAUUUUCAAAAGAUUUUUAGCGAAAAGAUCUUUCAAUGUAUUCUUUCUUUGCUAUUAAAGAAGUGUUCUAAUACCAACAUGUUAUCCAAAAGCAGCAUCACCAUUGAUGGUGAUUGUUUUUGUGCAUCAGAGACCUGCAGCUGUUGUUCUUUCUCACUACACAGUUGAAUGUGACACUGCUAUGAAAACAAUAGUAAUCUAAGGCCUUGGGGGAAACACUGAUUAAAAAAUCACAGUAUGAUGGGUGUUUCUCCAUUUCUGUUGUUGCCCAUGACUGGAUGAAUGUCUUAUUUUGUGUAUUCCAAUGCAAACUAAAAUAGCUUAGCUAACUAAUCAAAGGUCCAGGUAAUAGUGUAGAAAUUUCAGCUGGGUAGAGCGUAUCAUAAAAUCAUAUCAUAGAACCAUAGAAUGGCCUGGGUUGAAAAGGACACCAAAGAUCAUCUAGUUUCAACUCUCCUGCCAUGGGCAGGGUCGCCAGCCACUAGACCAGGCUGACCAGAGCCACUUCCAGCCUGGGAUAUCAUUAGCCAAGUAGAAGAAGUGUUAAGGUGCUUUGCCACAUUUCAUCACCUCCCUUCUGACAAAGAUGAAAACUCAGGUAGAUCAUCCCUAAUUAACCACUAAGGCUUUGCAUUGCUUGUAUGGGUUGCUCUAGAGCACUGAAAUCAGUGAAGCGAGUGCUAUUGAUCUGAGUGGAUGCUGUAUUUUCACUACUUCUGUUCCUAGAAUUGAGGAAGUAAUUUUUUUUCCUCAGUAAACACUUUGCAACUACUUGUUUAAUAGAGCUUACAGGAGAUGUCUGAGAUUUUAAGUAGGAAGAAGUGUAGAGGCACUGCAUAUUAUUAUUGUCAUCCUACAUUCUGUGCUUAGAGGUAUGGUCAUUAGUUACAUAUGUGGCUUUAGUCUCCUUACUGAGGGAAUCACGCAGUUUUCUGUAUUUGUGUGUUUUUUUUCCUCAGCUCCUCUGGGAAGUUUCUAGUGAAGUCUGCACUUGAACUGAGCUCUUCAGUGGGUGCACCCUUUUUAUCGGGUUGGAUGCACAAUAACAGUCAGUGAAUGUCAUCCAUCACUACAGUUGAAGAAAUAAGUAUAUGAAUUUUGGUGACAAAGGAAAUACAACGAGGAUAAAUGGAGCAACUGAAUGUCUAUUCAAUACUAAAAGCCAGUGGGCAAAUGAAUCAGUUGUAUUACCAAUUUGACUGUUUCAGCUUCUACAGGCAUAUUGUAAAUUGUAGCAAGUACACAGAAUGUUAUCUUCAUCUUUCUUGUAUUAAAAGUACUGACAACUGCUUUGUAUGCCUUGAAAAGGACAUUACUAUCAAUUCUCAUUACAAGACAUUCAAGGAUGCAUUCUUGUGUUUAAACAAAAUGGAGAAAGAAAUCCAGUGGAAUGUGAAAUCAGUAACACGUUAGCAGGCAGAAAAUGUUAGCAGAAAAAUUUUAUCGAACAGAUUGGUGCACCUACUUCUAUAAGGGAAAGGACCUGAAUAUGAAUUAUAAUACGCUUGUAGUGUAUUCAUAUUUUUUUUUCCAUGCUCAGUUCAUCAUCUAAACCUAGGGCAAUUAUACAGCUAAUAUGCUGUUUUAAAUGCCAUAAAUGUACAGCUAAAUGAUUGCAUUUAUGCACGGGCCUUUGGCUGAACUUCUUACUUUUAACGAAGGUAGAGAUAAACUGCAAAGCAAACAAGCAGCCACGCAGCCAAUAAAAUGAACAUCCCCUAUCAGCAUGUAUGUUUGUAAGUGUUAAAUUAAAAUAAAUCCUUUGGAUACAGACCCAAAACAACUCUUGUGCUGUGUGUGAACACAGAAGUGGUUCUUGCUUGAACCACCUCACUUUGAAGUUACAGACAUACAACAUCAGAAACAACCCUUCCUCUGGCUGUGUAGCUGUCAAUGAGCAUUGCUUCUGGAUGCAGGGAUAUGGAAAUAAAAAAAAAAUGCCUGUACAAAGCUGGCAUUCUUCAACUUUGAACUUAACUAACUAUGCAGGUCUUGUCUGUGGAAAAGCGUUGUCUGUGCAAUCUCUAAACAGAGUAAUAAAUUGCCAGAUUUUGUGGGGUGAAUUCAAACCAGCAACGAACCUGAAAACAUUGGAAAAGCUUUAUCUAUUCUCACCUGACUGAGAUUUAAAUUCACAUGCUAUGUUUAUACAAUGGAAAUAUGGUUCUAUUUUAAAUGAGAACAAAAUAAUACUGAAAAAAACAAGGUAGAGAUGCUAUAGUAGCAAAAGAUAUGCAGCACAGCCAAAAAAAAAAAAAAAAAAAAAAAAACACUUAUUUAUUUUACUACAGAAAAAAAAAAUAGGCCAAAUCCAAUUGCAUGGAAGUGAGAGAAAAGAUUCCCAUUAACCUCUGUACAGCUGGAUGAAACCUUCAAUUAGUGUCACUAAUUUUCUUGGUGGAUCAUGUUGUAGAUCUCUUCCUGUAUGUCGUUAAGCUUUUUCAGCUGUGUACUGUUUUUUUAUGUAACAUUGAUGGUGCCCAGCAUUUUGUCUCAUUAUUUCUUUUUUUAUUUUUAUUUAAUUGUAUUGUAAGUAUAGGAGAUGUCACUGAUUCCAAGGAUAAAGGAAUGUAACAACAGUGGAUGAGCUUGGAUCUGUG